Molecule: non-coding RNA, 46 nt
Organism: Poecilia formosa (Amazon molly)
Lineage: Eukaryota; Metazoa; Chordata; Actinopteri; Cyprinodontiformes; Poeciliidae
Source: Rfam
AAAACGGUCCUUUUAAGGGCCACACACAUGUUCUAACGAGCUGGAU